This 3459-nucleotide long non-coding RNA is filed under the name Triticum aestivum (bread wheat). Its description in RNAcentral is "long non-coding RNA (TAES_LNC012183)". The record is from RNAcentral. Lineage: Eukaryota; Viridiplantae; Streptophyta; Magnoliopsida; Poales; Poaceae.
AUUUAUGUUGUUCUUAGGUACCAAUCAGGUUAUUGAUGCCGCCGGAUAGCUGUCGUUGGCUAUAAUGUGAUUAGGUACCAAUCUUGUUAUUAAAGAUGUUAUGUUAUAUAAUGCGGCUACAUAAUUAUACUCUUAUAUGGUCAGCCAAGUGUUCUUCUGGAUAUACCUUUGUGCAAUGUAUAACUGAAGUAUGAUCAUUUCCUUGCAUAAACUAAGCAUACUAUUAAAAUUUUGUGUGUCAGGCCUUAAGAGUAGAUUGCCUUUUCUGUACUUUUGUGUUGCUUCAUCCAUUAAUUAUUUAUUAAAAUGUUAACACUUCAUUGUUAAUGUAUGGUUGUUUACCUUUUGGUGUCGACUUUCGACUUACUGAUUUGUGCAAUCAAAUAUAGAAAAGGAUCUCGUUUCGGACACGACAGCCUUGCUGAUGGCAUGCUUAAGGAUGACCUGAUGUUACUGAUGACACACAUUGAGUUACCUCGCACCAUCAUUUGGCCUUUCAAGCACUUGAUUUGCAUUUUUUUGAUGUAAUCAAAUAGUGUCCCUGCAUCUUAACAAGCCACCCAUUUAAUGUGUCAUCCUUUCCUUUUCUUUUCCUGGAGUUUUUUCAAUAAACAUCGAUGCACUUAUGGAUAGUACAUUGACGCUGAUGAUUCUAUCUUCUUUAUUUGAGAAUAUGAUAUUGUACAUGUAUUAUAGAUUGGAUUACAAAAUAGUGGUUGUAGUUCUUAUGAUUUGCAGUAGCUUAGGUCUGGUGCUGUGGCUUUAGCACAUAACAUGGAUCGGUUUUAAUAUUCUGUUCAUGCUCAUCUUCGCAUUUUAUAGGCAGGUUGUUUGGGAUAAUUUGUACUUUACUAAAUUACUGCUAAAGUGGUUUUGUUGAGAGUUGAAACUAUACCAAUGUUUUGCUUUCUGCUAAAGUCAAAGAUAUUGUAUCCUUGAAUGUUUUUCAAUUACCAACACAUGCCAAAUUCUGCAUAUUUGUUAAUGAUUUCGAUGCCUUCUGUUAGUUUUGCACUAUGGAAGUCAUUGUUUGCUAUGUAUGAAUAUUGGCUUAUUGGGUUUAGAAAACAUUGUAUAUUUUUUAUAUGCUCUCAGUUGAACACGUUUCGGUAUGUAGUGUACAUGGUAUAGGCAGGUAAGAAAACAACCUUAUUUAAGCUCAGGCCUGACUAGCGAUUAAGUCAUUAAAUUUUAGUGGGUAGGUAAAAGAGCAGCCCUAUUUUCGGUAUGCUUGACUUUCAGUAUUUUUGGUCACAGAUUUGUUGAUCUUGUUUACUGCCUCUAUCAAAAUAUUUGUACAAAUCCAGACUACAAAACGUCUUAUAUAUUGAUAGAGUGAGGACUACAGAUUGUGCUGGUGGCAACCUGGGGAAGACUUAUCGACGUGGAUACAGCCACAUUCCUUGACCGAAAUGAUCCAAACUAUGAUAGUAACAAGGUAAUACUUCAUGGUCUUGACCUACACAUUCAUGUCGUUUUUCAUGCAAUGAUGAACCUUCUAAUCCAAGCAAGGGUCUUCUUUAUGUUUGCAGAUAGUUUGGUGCUCUCAUGGUUAUUUUGUAGAGAUUGUCCUUCUGUUCAUUAUUUGGCAAUCAUCUACUGCAGCUCAGCUACUGUCCAGCUGCUUCCCUUAUGGUGAGUGAUUGAUGGUGCAUGUUUUCCUAUUAGUUUCUCCUGUAUGCCAAUUUCUCAAUUUAGGUUGCUGUUUUGCAUUUCUCUAGGCCUUUCAUUCUCACUGUGAUCCCCUGAGAUGCCUUGUGUAUUUGCGUUGUCCUCUGCUUCUGAUAAUGCAAGACAGAUCAAACCAAUGCAGUAAUCCUCUGAUCCUUCAUUAUAUUAUGAAAAAAACACUAUGAUUUUCCAUGUCAGGGUACUACUAUGUCAAAUUGAUGCUUUGUACUACAUGUUCAGGUGUAUACCCUGACAAUAUUGGGCAUUUGCAUUGUCAUUUGCUUUAUUUGUUCAUAUCGCAUUGUUUUUUUAGUUAUAGCCGGUUUUAUUUGCUAUUCAAACCCAUCCAUUUGUCUUGUUUUCAUUUUUUUCUUACAAAUUUUUUCUGAUGAGAAGAUGUCUUUUAGUUGUGUAUUUGUUCUCUUGAAUUCAUUUGUUUCUUAUGCAAGGGUUCUCUAAAAAAAUAAUUUUGUAGGCAAGACGAAACUUAAAAGGGGAUCUCGGACAAGUGGAAGGAGGGAAGUCGUCGUAAGAUAGAUAAUAAACUUGCCUCCGCUCUGACAAGAGCAUGUUCGUUCAGACCUUUUCUUACUAAAAGAUUUUUAUCUAUAGCAAGUGUUUCCAUUGGAACUAUCAAAUUCAAACUCCUAGAUGUCUAUGUCAGCAUGUAGGACUUUGUCCAGGCGGAGAUAUCCCCUCUGAUCUUUUUAUGAAUCCUUCCACACUUCUUUGUAAAGUGUUGCUGAUUUUAAUAAAAUCUCUCUAUUCAAAAGACAAUAUAAUUCAAGCUACUAGAGGAGCUUGUUCAUUCAGACCUUUCCUUACAUUUUAACUAUGAUAGUGACCUCUUUUAUUUGUCUAUGUAACGAUCAUAUGCAUAAAUAGUUGAAAAUGGUGCCUGAAUGGCGCAUUUUAGCUACAUCUUACCAUGCACCUAAAUGAUUUUCAAAACUUAAAAGAUAUUGAAGAAAUGCAAAUUGUUUCAAAACACUUUGUGUUUGAAUUUGGACCAUGAGCUAUUUGGUUCUAUGUUAUUCUAAUAAGAUAACAAAAUAUGCAUGCCCACAACACUUCAUUUUUCAAAGAUAAAGUAUCCUUCAUUUUUCAUCUUCACGGGUUUGAAUUAGUACCUAAGUGGUUGCUAAAACCUACUUCUAUUACAAGUCAAAUAUUUUUAAAACACUUCAUGUUGACAUGGUAUUUGUGUUUUCUCAAACAUAAAGUUAUUGAAAAAUGCAAAUAUUUUCAACGCGCACAUAGUUUCAAAUGAGGCUCUGCGCAGUUUUAAAUUUGUUACCAUAUGUGUUUGCCCACAACUAAACCAUGUAUUUUCUUUUCAAUGUGAACAUGGAUUUAGCUUGUCUCUGCACCAUUUGGCGCAAGGGAUUUUCAAGCACACAUCGAAUAUUUUCAAGCACAUAAUCAUAUUUUCAAUAUAGCAUGGUUUAACACAUGAGCUUUCUAUUACCAAUAUUAAAUAUGUUCUUGCAAAAUGAAACUAUUUUCAUCGACAACAUGGCUUUAGCGGGCGCAAUGGGUUAACUAGUAUAUACCAGAAGAUGGGCAUCAUAGGUGGUCCAAGGAGGGCACAACCCACCAAGGCGCGCCUGGGCUCCCUGGUGCGCCCAGGUGGGUUGUGCCCACCUGGUGGGCCCCCUCUAGUAGGUAUUUGCUCCAAUAUUUUUCAUAUAUUGCAAAACAAUUCUCCAUAAUUUUUUUGCUUAUUUGGUGAUGUGCAGAAUAAGUAACUCUGACAUAGGUUUUUCAGGUCCAGAAUUCCAGCUGUUG